Molecule: long non-coding RNA, 1072 nt
Organism: Mobula hypostoma (lesser devil ray)
Lineage: Eukaryota; Metazoa; Chordata; Chondrichthyes; Myliobatiformes; Myliobatidae
Exons: 3
Source: RefSeq, a predicted model, not a curated record
CUCUGGGAAGGCAGUAUGGUGUCUUGAUAUAGCUUGUCUGUCAAGGCCAAAUGACUUUGGUAAUGUAGUAUGAAUCACAGGCACAGGAGCAGGCUAUCAGAAUUGAGAACUGAUUGACUGGCUCGAUAUACUUUUCAGAACGUGUGUGGCAGGCCUUAACUGUGAAAACGGAUUUACUAAUCCAGUCAGGAAAUGAAGCUUCUCUAUCUCUUGGGGCAUAAGGACUUAUUUCUGUGCAUCAGAAUGAGCAUCACAAGUUACGUGUCUGUGCAGCUGCUGGUAAUGGAAAAUUAGUCAUCACAUCCCAUCAAUGCACGAAAGUGUGGAUGUUUAUCACGAUAAGAAUAUAGAACAAAAUCUGCCCCUCGUCCUUCAAAAUAAAGCAGCUGCGAUCCCUGUCUGUCCAAAAAAAGUGGCAUCUGAGAAACAGCAAAUGUAUCUUGUCAGGAUAGCAUGAACAGAGAUAUGACAUUGCCCAAGGCUCCUCUGGAUAAAGGACCCAGCUACUUAUGGUAUUGCUUCUUAUAUUAUGUGUUCAAAUUUGCACUAAAUGGCAGUGAAUCUUUCCCACUUUCAAUCGCACUCUCUGCAGUGUUCUGUAGUUUAUAGUCGCAUGAGGGGAAAAAUAAGAUUUCAAACACUAAUCUCUGAGACAGGACAUUCUGUUUGAAGAUUGAAAAUGACCUCUGAUUUCAAAUCAAUUUCUUCAGAUAGUUUUUAGUUUUACUUUGAAUCCAAAAAUUCUAUUCCUUUUUAAAAUAUUGAACAAAAUAUGAGUUGCCAGAGAUUUGAAGUAAGGCAGAAAUUGCUGGGAAAAUUCAGCAGAUUAUUCAGCAUCCAUGAAAAAAGAAAUGGCUGGAAUACUGUUUUGAGAGCUGGGAAAGAAUGUGUUAAGGAGUCAGUGGCAGUUCUAUGCCCUGUCAGUGUGUUGCAGAUUUCCCUGGCUACACCCAGGAGUGCCUCAGUAAAGAACAGAAAGGCCUUUGGACAUGGCUGUAACAAAACCUUUUCUAUGCUCAUGAACAUACCAUUGAGUUCAAGGUUCUUCUAUAACGAGUUGAGAGGUUUUAUA